UGGCAGCAGUGGGGAAUUUUGGACAAUGGGGGCAACCCUGAUCCAGCAAUGCCGCGUGUGUGAAGAAGGCCUUCGGGUUGUAAAGCACUUUUGUCCGGAAAGAAAACCUUCGCUCUAAUACAGUGGGGGGAUGACGGUACCGGAAGAAUAAGCACCGGCUAACUACGUGCCAGCAGCCGCGGUAAUACGUAGGGUGCGAGCGUUAAUCGGAAUUACUGGGCGUAAAGCGUGCGCAGGCGGUUCGUUAAGACAGAUGUGAAAUCCCCGGGCUUAACCUGGGAACUGCAUUUGUAACUGGCGAGCUAGAGUAUGGCAGAGGGGGGUAGAAUUCCACGUGUAGCAGUGAAAUGCGUAGAGAUGUGGGGGAAUACCGAUGGCGAAGGCAGCCCCCUGGGCCAAUACUGACGCUCAUGCACGAAAGCGUGGGGAGCAAACAGGAUUAGAUACCCUGGUAGUCCACGCCCUAAACGAUGUCAACUAGUUGUUGGGGAUUCAUUUCCUUAGUAACGUAGCUAACGCGUGAAGUUGACCGCCUGGGGAGUACGGUCGCAAGAUUAAAACUCAAAUGAAUUGACGGA
RNAcentral lists this ribosomal RNA (578 nucleotides) under uncultured bacterium. RNAcentral describes it as "bacterial SSU rRNA". It matches the Rfam family "Bacterial small subunit ribosomal RNA", at positions 346 to 917 of the family's 1533-position model. The record is from RNAcentral.